AAGGUAGAAAGUGGAAGAGAUGUGGUCUGCCUCCUCGAUUGUCCUAUCCCUCUUAAAGGCUUCAGCUGCGUCACAUAACCACAUCUAGCUGCAAGGGAAAUGGACAGCGCAUUUAGAGGAUGGUAUCCAAGAGUAUGCUAAUGACAUUUCACAUUAUGACCUGUGAAUAUACGGGAAUGAAAAUUGCUGGGAUCGCCUCUGCGAUGCAUUGCCUCUGAUAGGGGCAUUCCAGCACUGAUUUACUGAACACCUAACUGGAAGAUUCAUGCUUGGUCCUGGGAAUGGAAUAAUGAACAAAACAGAUGGAACUGUUGGAACUUUCAGGAGAGUCAGGCACUCGCCAAAAAGAUCACACCAAUGAAUAUACAGUUACAUACAGAAUGAAGUUUCGAAGGAAAACAACACGACUGCUAUUGGAGAGCCAGGGGUAGUUUCCUGUAGGAAGGGGCACUUGACCUGAGAUCUUAGGGAUAACUAGGAGUUGACUUGAGUGAGGAAGAGGCUGUGACUCUUGUGACCAGCCCCACUAGCAUCCUGCUUAUCAGACCCUUCUCUUCCAUUGUUCUCUCUAUAAGGCAACUCCAUGAUGGAAAUGCAGUCCUCUAUGGAAUGACUGGGGCAUACAGUGGGUUUAACCCUCUGACACCAAUCCAAAGAGCUGUCUAAGUACCUCCAC
Molecule: non-coding RNA, 676 nt
Organism: Callorhinus ursinus (northern fur seal)
Lineage: Eukaryota; Metazoa; Chordata; Mammalia; Carnivora; Otariidae
Source: RefSeq, a predicted model, not a curated record